AUGUCUGUCUCCUCCACUAGACUGUAGUUCCCUGAUACACACUCUUCUUGCUCAUGUCGCUAGCAUCAGCACCAAGGACAGUUCCAGGCACAUCCCUCACUCCACACUCAUUUAAUGAAUCAAUGUGAAUAAACCUGUUAUACGUUAUGUCAUUGAUAUAAAUGCAUAAAUUGUCUAUAUUUAUUUUUUCACAGAGCAUGGAUGUGGUCAUUUUUAAAUAAAUCAUAUAACUCUUUUAUGAAGUGCCACAUUAAAAAUCGCUUUUCAGAAAUGCUUAGCAAUGUGGGACCCCAGCUGAUUUCACACUGAAGUUAUUGUUGCCUAGGAGAGGACACAAUGAUGAGGACUUCCAGCACUACGUUGAAUAGCAGUGUUAAGACUGGGCAUCCUUGCCUUGUUCUGGACCUUGGCAGAAAAGCUUUAGUUUUCUUCACUGAUUAUGAUGCUAGAGGUUGUCUCUUUACGGAUUGUUUUCUUUGCUGCACAGAAGCUUUUCAGUUGGAUGUCAUUUCAUUUGUUUAUUUUUGUUGCCUAUGCUCAAGAAGUCACCAUCCAGACCAAUGUCAAGAAGAUUUUCUUUUGUUUUCUUCUAGGAAUUUUAGAGUUCAAGGUAUUUAAUUUAUUUUGAGUGAUUUUUGUAUAGGGUAUAAGAUAGGGUCCAAAUUUAUUUUUAUGAUUAGGAUAUCCAGUUUUCCCAAUACCAUUUGUUAAAGAGAUUUUCUUUUCCCCCACUGUAUAUUCCUGGCACUUUUGUCAAAGAUUAAUUGGUUGUAAAUGCAUGGCUUUAUUUCUGGGCUCUCUAUUCUGUUCCAGAUCUGUACGUAUGCUUUUAUGACAGUACUAUGCUGUUUUGGUUACCAUAACUUUGUAGUGUAUUUUGUGUGAUGCCUCCAGCUUUGUUCUUGCUCAAGAUUGUUUCGGCUAUGCAAGUGUUUUUGGGGUUCCAUAAAAAUUGCAGAAUUGUUUUCUAAAUUUUCAUUUAAAAAUACCAUUGAAACUUUGAUAGAGAUUGCAAUAAAUCUUCAGAAUGCUUUGGGUAAUAUGCACAUUUUAACAUUAUUAAGUCUUCCAAUUCAUGAAUAUGGGCUAUCUUUCUGUUAUUUCAUCAACGUUUUAUUGUUUUCAGUGUAAUCACCUUUUAUCUCAGUUAAAUUUCUUUCUAAGUAUUGCUAAUGCUAUUAUAAACGGGAUUGUUUUCUUCAUUCUUUUUUUUUGACAGUUUGUUGUUAAUGUAUAG
RNAcentral lists this long non-coding RNA (1237 nucleotides) under Callithrix jacchus (white-tufted-ear marmoset). RNAcentral's name for it is "lncRNA (ENSCJAG00000077279.1)". Lineage: Eukaryota; Metazoa; Chordata; Mammalia; Primates; Cebidae. The record is from RNAcentral.